RNAcentral lists this ribosomal RNA (305 nucleotides) under uncultured bacterium. Its description in RNAcentral is "bacterial SSU rRNA". It matches the Rfam family "Bacterial small subunit ribosomal RNA", at positions 333 to 655 of the family's 1533-position model. The record is from RNAcentral.
UGCACCCUACGGGGCGCAGCAGUGGGGAAUAUUGCACAAUGGGGGAAACCCUGAUGCAGCGAUGCCGCGUGGAGGAAGAAGGUUUUCGGAUUGUAAACUCCUUUUAUCAGGGACGAUAAUGACGGUACCUGAAGAAAAAGCUCUGGCUAACUACGUGCCAGCAGCCGCGGUAAUACGUAGGGAGCGAGCGUUGUCCGGAAUUACUGGGUGUAAAGGGAGCGUAGGCGGGACGGCAAGUCAGAUGUGAAAACUGAGGGCUCAACCUUCAGACUGCAUUUGAAACUGCUGUUCUUGCGUGAAGUAGA